This 253-nucleotide ribosomal RNA is filed under the name Roseburia faecis M72/1. RNAcentral's name for it is "partial 16S ribosomal RNA". It matches the Rfam family "Bacterial small subunit ribosomal RNA", at positions 524 to 776 of the family's 1533-position model. The record is from RNAcentral. Lineage: Bacteria; Bacillati; Bacillota; Clostridia; Lachnospirales; Lachnospiraceae.
UACGUAUGGUGCAAGCGUUAUCCGGAUUUACUGGGUGUAAAGGGAGCGCAGGCGGUGCGGCAAGUCUGAUGUGAAAGCCCGGGGCUCAACCCCGGUACUGCAUUGGAAACUGUCGUACUAGAGUGUCGGAAGGGUAAGUGGAAUUCCUAGUGUAGCGGUGAAAUGCGUAGAUAUUAGGAGGAACACCAGUGGCGAAGGCGGCUUACUGGACGAUAACUGACGCUGAGGCUCGAAAGCGUGGGGAGCAAACAGG